Molecule: ribosomal RNA, 253 nt
Filed under: uncultured bacterium
Lineage: Bacteria
Description: partial 16S ribosomal RNA
Rfam family: Bacterial small subunit ribosomal RNA
Source: RNAcentral
UACGAAGGGGGCUAGCGUUGCUCGGAAUCACUGGGCGUAAAGGGCGCGUAGGCGGUCCUUCAAGUCAGGCGUGAAAGCCCCGGGCUCAACCUGGGAACCGCGCUUGAGACUGGCGGGCUAGAGUUCGGGAGAGGAUGGUGGAAUUCCCAGUGUAGAGGUGAAAUUCGUAGAUAUUGGGAAGAACACCGAUGGCGAAGGCAGCCAUCUGGACCGACACUGACGCUGAGGCGCGAAAGCGUGGGGAGCAAACAGG